RNAcentral lists this ribosomal RNA (213 nucleotides) under uncultured Staphylococcus sp. RNAcentral's name for it is "partial 16S ribosomal RNA". It matches the Rfam family "Bacterial small subunit ribosomal RNA", at positions 127 to 334 of the family's 1533-position model. Lineage: Bacteria; Bacillati; Bacillota; Bacilli; Caryophanales; Staphylococcaceae. The record is from RNAcentral.
UACCUAUAAGACUGGGAUAACUUCGGGAAACCGGAGCUAAUACCGGAUAAUAUAUUGAACCGCAUGGUUCAAUAGUGAAAGACGGUUUUGCUGUCACUUAUAGAUGGAUCCGCGCCGCAUUAGCUAGUUGGUAAAGUAACGGCUUACCAAGGCAACGAUGCGUAGCCGACCUGAGAGGGUGAUCGGCCACACUGGAACUGAGACACGGUCCAG